UAGCCACAUCUAACAUACGAGUCUCUCGUGUUUGUAUCCCUUUAUCGUUUGUAUUUCUCUAUUCCUUCAAAAUGUGUGAGCGAAUCAAUUUACAGAAUUGAUAGGUGAGGGGACCGAAACUGCAAUUUGCACCAUAAGUAAAAGCAAUCAUCAUAACUGGAGAAAACCACCUUUGACUGAAGUUAAUGGAAAGUACACUAGCGUAACCAACUACUGCUCACAGCUACCAGAAAGGCAGCAGCCCCACUUCCCAUUUCCACCUCAAAACCUCAAAUCAAAACAAAGCAGUAGAUCCAAUAUUCAUAAUCCUUCCCACUCAAAUUAGUUACUACUGCUCCUUUGCUAUUGGCAAUUAGGAAGAUGUCAAGGCGAUCUGGGAACCGUGUAAGGUGCUGUUUGGUUGUAUUUGCAGUGGUUUCAGCUCUCUGUGUAUCUGGGCCUGCAAUUUACUGGAAAUUCAAGAAAAGUCUCAGCUUGAAAGCUACAUCGUUUAAUUCUUGCAGUCCUUGUGUUUGUGAUUGCGCCCCUCCUCUUUCCCUUCUCAAGAUUGCUCCUGGUUGAGUGCAAAGAUGGUUGGUGCAAGUGAUCUCUCUUGCCUCUGUCUAUCUUUAAUUUAUCCUUAUUUGAGGUGUUUUGAAGGUGAAAAAUGCUAUUAUUUUCAUUGUACAAUUCUUAGGCAACUUUUGUGAAUUUUCCAAAUUACUUAGAUUUUCAAAUUUUUAGUAAA
This is a long non-coding RNA of Coffea eugenioides, 727 nucleotides long. RefSeq lists it as uncharacterized. NCBI's taxonomy places the organism in Eukaryota, Viridiplantae, Streptophyta, Magnoliopsida, Gentianales, Rubiaceae. The record is from RefSeq and is a predicted model, not a curated record. The transcript has 2 exons.